Molecule: ribosomal RNA, 2331 nt
Filed under: Brevibacterium sp. HMSC07C04
Lineage: Bacteria; Bacillati; Actinomycetota; Actinomycetes; Micrococcales; Brevibacteriaceae
Description: bacterial LSU rRNA
Rfam family: Bacterial large subunit ribosomal RNA
Source: RNAcentral
GUGAGUGUUCAAGGGCGCAUGGUGGAUGCCUUGGCAUCAAGGGCCGAUGAAGGACGCGGUAAUCUGCGAUAAGCCUCGGGGAGUUGGUAAACGAGCUGUGAUCCGAGGGUGUCCGAAUGGGGAAACCUCGCUGCGUGUUGUGCGUAGUGACCACGGGGUGAAUGUAUAGCCUUGGUGGGGGUGACGUGGGGAAGUGAAACAUCUUAGUACCCAUAGGAAGAGAAAAUAAGAAUGAUUCUGUUAGUAGUGGCGAGCGAACGCGGAAGAGCCUAAACCGUGUGUGUGUCAAGCGUGCUGGUUUUGCAUGCGCGGUGUUGUGGGGCCGAUCGUCUCAGUUCAGCAUGGCUGGGGCAUGGAUGCAGUGUGGUAGGUGAACAGGUUGGGAAGCCUGACCGGAGUGGGUGAGAGUCCCGUAGCUGAAACCGCAGUGGUCUGUGUGUGUUGGUGCCCGAGUAGCACGGUACUCGUGGAAUGUCGUGUGAAUCUGCCAGGACCACCUGGUAAGGCUAAAUACUCUUGGUGACCGAUAGCGGAUAGUACCGUGAGGGAAUGGUGAAAAGUACCCCGGGAGGGGAGUGAAAGAGUACCUGAAACCGUGUGCCUACAAUCCGUCAGAGCCCUCGUGUGGGGUGAUGGCGUGCCUUUUGAAGAAUGAGCCUGCGAGUUAGUGGCAUGUGGCGAGGUUAACCCGUGUGGGGAAGCCGUAGCGAAAGCGAGUCCGAAUAGGGCGUGUGAGUCGUGUGUCCUAGACCCGAAGCGGAGUGAUCUAGCCAUGGGCAGGGUGAAGCGCCGGUAAGACGGCGUGGAGGCCCGAACCCACCUAGGUUGAAAACUGGGGGGAUGAUCUGUGGUUAGGGGUGAAAGGCCAAUCAAACUCUGUGAUAGCUGGUUCUCCCCGAAAUGCAUUUAGGUGCAGCGUUGCGUGGUGCUUUGCGGAGGUAGAGCGACUGGAUGACUGAUGGGCCCGCGAGGGUUACUGACGUCAGCUAAACUCCGAAUGCCGUGAAGUCAGCGUGGCAGUGAGACUGCGGGGGAUAAGCUUCGUAGUCGAGAGGGAAACAGCCCAGACCAUCAACUAAGGUCCCUAAGCGUGUGCUCAGUGGAAAAGGAUGUGGAGUUGCAGUGACAACCAGGAGGUUGGCUUAGAAGCAGCCACCCUUGAAAGAGUGCGUAAUAGCUCACUGGUCAAGUGAUUCCGCGCCGAUAAUGUAGCGGGGCUUAAGCACACCACCGAAGUUGUGGCAAAAACAUGUUCAACCGAUAACUCGGGUGUUUUUGGGUAGGGGAGCGUCGUGUGGCCGGUGAAGCUGCGAAGUGAUUCAGUGGUGGAGGCUAUGCGAGUGAGAAUGCAGGCAUGAGUAGCGAAAGACGGGUGAGAAACCCGUCCGCCGAAUGACCAAGGGUUCCAGGGCUAGGUUAAUCCGCCCUGGGUUAGUCGGGACCUAAGGCGAGGCCGACAGGCGUAGUCGAUGGACAACGGGUUGAUAUUCCCGUACCAGUGAAGAACCGUCCAUACCGAAGAAUCUGAUACUAACCAGUGCCCCACCCGCAUCAUGCUCCUUUGGAGUGUGUGUGGUGUGUGGUGGUGGGACCUGAGGGUUUUGUAGGUAAGCGUGGUAACAGGUGUGACGCAGGAAGGUAGCCGGGCCGUGCGAUGGUUGUCGCGGUCUAAGGUUGUAGGCCGUGUGGUUGGCAAAUCCGCCACACAUGAGGGCUGAGAGCUGAUGGGCGCCCCACAAUGGUGGGGUGAUCCGGUGAUCCUCUGCUGCCAAGAAAAGCAUCGACGUGAGGUUCAAACUGCCCGUACCCUAAACCGACUCAGGUGGUCAGGUAGAGAAUACCAAGGCGAUCGAGAUAAUCGUGGUUAAGGAACUCGGCAAAAUGCCCCCGUAACUUUGGAAGAAGGGGGACCACCCUGGUGAACAACCCUGGCGGUUGGAUGUGCUGGUGGUGGUCGCAGAGGCCAGAGAGAAGCGACUGUUUACUAAAAACACAGGUCCGUGCGAAGACGUAAGUCGAUGUAUACGGACUGACGCCUGCCCGGUGCUGGAAGGUUAAGAGGAUCUGUUAGAACUUGGUUCGAAGCGGAGAAUUUAAGCCCCAGUAAACGGCGGUGGUAACUAUAACCAUCCUAAGGUAGCGAAAUUCCUUGUCGGGUAAGUUCCGACCUGCACGAAUGGCGUAACGACUUCUCUGCUGUCUCAACCGCGAACUCGGCGAAAUUGCAUUACGAGUAAAGAUGCUCGUUACGCGCAGCAGGACGGAAAGACCCCGAGACCUUCACUAUAGUUUGGUAUUGGUGUUCGGUGUGGCUUGUGUAGGAUAGGUGGG